Molecule: long non-coding RNA, 548 nt
Organism: Calidris pugnax (ruff)
Lineage: Eukaryota; Metazoa; Chordata; Aves; Charadriiformes; Scolopacidae
Exons: 4
Source: RefSeq, a predicted model, not a curated record
UUCAUUGUCCUCUCCUGUCUUCUGAACCCGUGAAUACUUUUUGCAUGAAGACUUGAAGCAGCUGGGAGGCCAAGAUAUCGGCCAAGAAAAGCUACAAGGAACAGAGCCUUGCACGUUCUUCUCAAAGAAAUAAAAUAUUGGAUACCACCAGGCUCGAGAGAGAAAGUUUGUCUGCGAAGAGACCUUUAAAGUCUGCAUUGGCACAAGCAGUGGGCCACAAGGACUCAGGCAGAAACUAAGGCAAGAAUUUGGAAGCAAAGGCUCUUACCUUUGGUGCACACUGAAAAUGCAUCCCAGGCACAGAGAGGUUGAACACUACCACCACUUCAAGUCUCUGCAUGCCAGUUUGCUGUGCUGUAUGUACAAUUCAGUCACCAUGAUGGAAGAAGAACUUGGUUUAAGACAAAACAACCUGCUCAAGAAAAAACUAUCCAGCUCAUUUUGGAGAGGAUGGAUUCAGCGUUUCAGAUCUGGACUGAAGAGUCUGCUAACCUGAAUUGAGACUUAGGCUCCGAAUCGACUGCUUUUGAAUAGAGGCAAAAAAGGUA